CUGGCGGCGUGCCUAACACAUGCAAGUCGCACGAGAAAGUGGAGCAAUCCAUGAGUAAAGUGGCGCACGGGUGAGUAACACGUGAAUGAUCUACCUCCGAGUGGGGAAUAACCUAGAGAAAUCUGGGCUAAUACCGCAUAACACUUACGAGUCAAAGCAGCAAUGCGCUUGGAGAGGAGUUCGCGGCCGAUUAGUUAGUUGGCGGGGUAAUGGCCCACCAAGACGAUGAUCGGUAUCCGGCCUGAGAGGGCGCACGGACACACUGGAACUGAAACACGGUCCAGACUCCUACGGGAGGCAGCAGUGGGGAAUUUUGCGCAAUGGGGGAAACCCUGACGCAGCAACGCCGCGUGGAGGAUGAAAUCCCUUGGGAUGUAAACUCCUUUCGAUCGGGACGAUUAUGACGGUACCGGAAGAAGAAGCCCCGGCUAACUUCGUGCCAGCAGCCGCGGUAAUACGAGGGGGGCAAGCGUUGUUCGGAAUUAUUGGGCGUAUAGGGCGCGUAGGCGGUUUGACAAGUCUGAUGUGAAAUCUCUGGGCUCAACUCA
RNAcentral lists this ribosomal RNA (548 nucleotides) under uncultured bacterium. RNAcentral's name for it is "bacterial SSU rRNA". It matches the Rfam family "Bacterial small subunit ribosomal RNA", at positions 36 to 616 of the family's 1533-position model. The record is from RNAcentral.